CCUACGGGUGGCAGCAGUAGGGAAUAUUGCGCAAUGGGGGAAACCCUGAAGCAGCAACGCCGCGUGGAGGAUGAAGGUUUUCGGAUUGUAAACUCCUUUUGUUAGAGAAGAUAAUGACGGUAUCUAACGAAUAAGCACCGGCUAACUCCGUGCCAGCAGCCGCGGUAAUACGGAGGGUGCAAGCGGUACUCGGAAUCACUGGGCGUAAAGAGCGCGGAGGCGGGAUAGCAAGUCAGAUGUGAAAUCCUAUGGCUUAACCAUAGAACUGCAUUUGAAACUGUCCAACUGGAGUAUGUGAGAGGGCGGCGGAAUUCCUGGUGUAGGAGGGAAAUCCGUAGAGAUCAGGAGGAACAUCAGUGGCGAAGGCGGCCGCCUGGCACAAAACUGACGCUGAGGUGCGAAAGCGUGGGUAGCAAACAGGAUUAGAUACCCCUGUAGUC
This 440-nucleotide ribosomal RNA is filed under the name uncultured bacterium. Its description in RNAcentral is "partial 16S ribosomal RNA". It matches the Rfam family "Bacterial small subunit ribosomal RNA", at positions 338 to 795 of the family's 1533-position model. The record is from RNAcentral.